GCGCUGGUGCUGGAAUUGGCAGACAGGCAUGCUUGAGGUGCAUGUGUCGCAAGACGUGGAGGUUCAAGUCCUCUCCAGCGCAC
RNAcentral lists this transfer RNA (83 nucleotides) under Chloroflexi bacterium OLB14. RNAcentral's name for it is "tRNA-Leu". It matches the Rfam family "tRNA". Rfam says of the family: Transfer RNA (tRNA) molecules are approximately 80 nucleotides in length. Their secondary structure includes four short double-helical elements and three loops (D, anti-codon, and T loops). The record is from RNAcentral. Lineage: Bacteria; Bacillati; Chloroflexota; Tepidiformia.